Molecule: long non-coding RNA, 5687 nt
Organism: Balaenoptera acutorostrata (minke whale)
Lineage: Eukaryota; Metazoa; Chordata; Mammalia; Artiodactyla; Balaenopteridae
Exons: 7
Source: RefSeq, a predicted model, not a curated record
UUCUCCUGCGCGUUUGCAGGUUACAAACAAAACCGACGCUUUAAGGCGGGGAGGGGGGGCAGGGUGUCUUGAGUUUUCACCAGAGCCUGUCGCAGGGUUGCCAGGAAGCCAGUGGCCGACUUCAGAGUCACACAGUGUUUCACUUGGACCUACGUGGUUAUCACCAACAUGAGGUUUCAAACACACUGUCCUGUUGGGGUUUAUUAUGAGGAAUUGGCUCACAUGAUUAUGGAAGCUGAGAAGUCCUAAGAUCUGCUGUCUGAAAGCUGGAGACCCAGGAAAGCCAGUGGUGAAGUCCAAUCUGAAUCCCCGAAGGCCUGAGGGCCAGAGGAGUGCAUGGUGUAAACCCCUGUCCAAGGGCAGGAGGAGGCAGAUGUCCCAGCUCGAGCAGUCAGCUUCCAGGUGACGCUGCUGAGCUUCGGACCACACUGAGCAGCGAGACGCUAGGACAGCGAUUCUCAAACAGGUGAUUUUGGCCUCCAGGGGACACUUGGCAACGUUGCGGAGACAUCUUUGACUGUUACAGCUGGGGUGGUGCUACUGCGUGGAGACCAGAGACGCUGCUAAACGUCUUACUAUGCACAGGACGGCCCUCAGAACAAAGAAGGAUCUUGCCGCAAAGGUCCACAGUGCCAAGGCUGAGAGCCCUGCUCUAGAACGAUCUUCGAAUUUGCCAUGCGCAUCUGUUCUCCCGGCCCUACGGAUGUGGCCAGAAGGAUCUCGAAGGGGAUGGGCCUGGCGGCGCUCCUGGACAUCCCCGCUGCUUGCCUUUGGGGAUGGGCAGCUCCUGCUCCUGUAGGACUGCGCGUGCGUCUAGGACUCAGGUUCUAGAAGGAUGAACUUGGUGUGCAAACUGGAGGGCUCAGUGUUAUGGGCUGAGUUGUGUCCUUCUAAAACUUAUAUGUUGAAGCCCUAAUUCUUAGGACCUCAGAAUGUGACUCUAUUUGGAGACAGGAUCUUUAAAGAGGCAGUCAAGUUAAAAUGCGGUCAUUAGAGUGGGCCCUAAUCCAAUCUGACUCGUGUCCUCAUAAGAAGAGGAAAUUGGGACAGAGAUGCAUAGAGAGGGACGACCAUGUGGAGACACAGGGAGAAGACGGCCACCUACAAGCCAAGGAGAGAGACGUCAGAAGAAACCAACCCUGCCAGCAACUUGGUCUCAGACUUCUAACCUCCAGAACUGUAUGUAAGAAGACAAAUUUUUGUUGUAUAAGCCACUCUGUCUGUGGUACUUUGUUAUGGCAGCCCUGCCUAGCAAGCUAAUACAGUUGGUUUCCAAGUAUGUGCUGAAAGGGCUGUAUUUCCAGUUAGACACAUUCAAUUUAAAUAAUACAGUACAGCACCAAAGAAGAAAUCCUCCAAAACAAUUGAUUUUGACAAUGUAGUUUUCCUGAUAGUAUCAAUUCUACUCUACCAAGGAAUAAGCGCUCAGAAAUUCAGGGUUAUGGCCGCCGUUCAGUUGGUGGCAGUUAAUGAAGUAUAUGUGGCCUCAAACCAUCUUCUAACCAAAAAUUGAUUUAUCAGUAUGUAAAAGUGGUAAAAGUCUUCUCCUUCAUGAAGUCUGUAAUUAAAGUUACAUAAAUGGGGACAUUUUAAUCAUAACCUCUACAAUCAAAAUAAAGUCGGGGGACAUCCCUGGUGGUCCACCGGUUAAGACUCCGUGCUCCCAAUGCAGGGGCCCCGGGUUCCACCCCUGGUCAGAGAACUAGAUCCCCCAUGCUGCAACUAAAGAUCCUGCACGCAGCAACGAAGAUCCUGUGUGCCGCAACGAAGACCCGGUGCAGCCAAAUAAAUAAGUAAAUAUUAAAAAAAAAAAGUCAGUAAUUUGAUAUUGUUUUUUGAAAAAUUAUAUUUUGGCAAUACUUGUGGGGCAUCGGAUGCAAAAAGUAUGGGGCAAGACUAUUUAGGGAGAAAAGGAACAGGAAAAGUGUUCACCGGAUUUUAAUUAAAACAUUGUUUAUUGAGUAUUGCACUUUACUAGAGUGAAAGAUAUGUAUAUGUUAUAAAAACUAAUUUAAGACUGCUUUUUGCUCACGAAGAGAAACAGCUGGGUUUCAGCAUUUGUGUGUAUUCAAGAUCAGUCUUCACUGAGCAAAAGAAACUCUAUAGCCAUUUGGAGAAGAAAAUGAAAAGCUAGCUUACUCAUCGGUCAUUAGAAAACAUUCUUUGUGUGCACAUGGAACAUAAAGCUCAUCAGGUUUAUAAUACAGCCACUUCCAGUUCUUAGAAAGCUUAAUCUCUUGAUUAGAUGCCAUUUUUAGUUGAAUAUUUUAUACCCAAAGUUAGAAAUUUGUACAACAUAACCAUUUAUUCACACUGCUACCAGGCAGCGUCACUAAAGACCUGCGAACCAUGGACCAUGCACUUACGCUGACUUCUGGAAUUCUGGGCAGUUCUGGGAGAGGAUGAUACGAUGGUGACCCAAAGGGUGAAGAGCUUCCCUUCCCACAUCUUUGCAUGGAUUUGAAAUCUAAUUCUAACAACUCUGAGUAUCUGAGAAAAGGGAAGUCCUCACUACAAAUUUAUUGAUCGCCCCAGAGGAGAUGCCCGUGCCUUAAUGCACCCUUUCCAAAACAAAUGAGCAGGAGUAAAGAGAAGGUAAUGAUUUUAAGGGACACCUGACCUGCAGCCCUGGCAGCCUUUGCUAGCUGUCAGCGAAAACACUCGUGUUGUUCCAGAAACGAUGCCAACCCCAAACUCCCCCUCCAGAAUGGUUGAAUUUCGGAAUCUCUUCACCAUCCACCAGAAGGAACUUCCACCAUCCAUGAAGCAACAAGACACAACUGAAGAAUGAAAAUAGUUGACAGACCACUGACAUUAUGCUGCCAGAAACAGAAUGAUCCUCACUGAAAGAAGAUACGAAGACCCUUGUCGUCUCUCUUCACCUCCACUCCCCAAGUCAGUCUGUACCCGUAUGAGAAUUGCAGCCCCCUGAAAGCCACUGGAAGGAAUGAAACGGUCCACUGCCUUCUGGGGUGUAUAAAUCCCGCCACAUCCCAACUCCAGAGCACUGUAAGAAGGGACAAGGGUAAGAAGAGUCUUUGUGGCAGUGCCCACCGGGGGUUGCGGCUUUGCGUACAUUCCAUCUUUUCAGAGUAUUAGGGCUCUGGAAAGUGAAGGAAAGAGAAGAUGCCACCUUUCUCCUUCAGAGCUGCAUUAAAUGAAAUUCUGCUGAUUACUAGAAAUGAGUCUGGUCAGGAUUUCUCAACGUCUUCUCUCUUGACAUUUGGGGCCAGGUCAUUCUUUGUUGUGUGGUGCUGCCGUGUGUAUGUUUAGCCGCGUCUCUAGAUCUCAGGCUGUUUUGCAGCACCUGUGGCCUCUACUUAUUAGAUGCCAGUAACCUCCUGCCCCCUCCACAUACACAUAGUGACAACCGACAAUGUCUCCAGGCAAUGCCAAAUGUCCCUCAGGGCAAAAUCAGUCCUGGUUGAGAACCAUUGGAAGAAGACAACCGGAAACAUAAUUGAAGAAUAGAUUGUUGAGUGGAAAAAAAUGACCUAGGUAUGUAGAUCAAAAUGGAUCACUGAUUCUAGGCAAAAUCUGUAAUUACUGAUAUUUGUUGCAAGCUUAUUUUAUGCUAGGUGCUGUUCUAAGUGCUUUACCACAUUAUCUCAUUUAACCCCAGACCACGCUUUGAGGGAGGUACUAUUAUCAUCUCCAUGUUACACCCGGAGGAAUGGAGACACAGAAAGUUUUCUGUGAAACUUGGUGAACCAUCAACUCAUUGCCAUCGGCUUGUGCAUGUGUACUGAAGGUGAAAAAGAUUAACAACAGCGUGAGUUUGUACAAGACUUCCUUUUUGGAAUCUUUUAUUUUUGGCAAAUGUGUGGAAGGACUGUGGGAAUCACAUGACAUCAAACAGAAUUUCAGCAAAGGACCAAGAACUCCAAUACUACAUUUUUAUGCAUGUAGGUAAUUUUUGAUAUGAAUAUUUAGAAACAGCUAAACUAAUUUUAAGGUAAUUUUAACUUUCUUAGCUAAGCUAAUUUUAAGAUUUUACUAGAAGAUUUUUUUGUUUUAUUUAUUUAUAUCCCACAUGUUCUAGUUGAUACCUAAGGUGGCUUACAAAAUUAGUACAGUAAAAAAAGAUAAAAUGUAAACCAAAACAAAACAACCUCAUUACUGGUGAGGGGAUUGAGCAGAGGCCACUUAGACAUUGUGUGUGUAUUUAGCUAGUGUUAUUGUUUGUUAGGGAGAAUUGGCAAUACACUACAAAGCCUUAAAGAGUCUGCCUUCUACCUAACCUAGCAAUUCCACUUUUAGGAAUUUAUCUUAAGGAAAUAAUCAAGAGUGAAGGCAAACAUUUAGCUAUGUUCACCAUGUAUGGCUGUGUUUCACUGUUGAUAAUGGCAAAGGACUGAAAAUAAUUUAAACAUGCAAUAAGCAGGAAAUUGGUUAAGUUAUAGUAUAUCUAUUUUGUGGAUAUUUGCAAUUGUUUAAAAUGCUGUUGUAAAAUAGUAUUUAAAUCUAUUGAAGAUGUUUAAUAUAUUGUUAACUUCAGAAAACAUGGUGUUAAAUAUUAUGUAUAAAAUGAACCACUUUUAGAAAUGCGCAUACAUGCAUGGAGAAAUGACAGAAUAUUAAGAACUAAAAAUGGGUGGUGAAAGACCAGAUCGUUUUUAUUUUCUUUUUUUCUUAUAUGUAUUUUAAACAUCUUAUAUCGUGUAUAUUUAUUGCAUUUGUAAAGAGAAAAACAAGUUUUUUUUUUAAAUUAGGUAAGAAAAUGAGUACAAUGGGAAAAUGACAGAAAAGUUAAAAUGAACCUUGAAAUGAGGUUACUUCUCAAAACGCAUGCAAUAAGAUUCUGUACAGAUGGGACAUACAUUUUGCUCUAAGCUUUCAAAAGCCAUUGGAAAAAGGGAAACAGAAUCAGCUAUAGUAUCUACAAGAUAAGAUACUAUAGUAUCUUAUAAGUAUAAGGCAAGAACAGUUUGUUGGUCCACAACUUGAAAGUAAAUAUAAUGGCUGAUUUCACUGAGCUUUUACCUACAUGUAGGAUGAAAACAAAAUGCCAAAGGCCAACAGAAAGUUAAAUAACAGUUAUAAGUUCCCCUUUAUAUAAAGGGGAGCCGUAAAGUUUGGAAUCACAAACAAUACUGUUUUAUUUUUUUACAGACUCAUAUUAAGUAAAUUACAUUAUGUUAUAGUAUAUAUCAACUUUACAGACAGAACCCCCUUGAUUACUUAUUUCUUCUGGAGUGUGCUAAAAGUAUAGAUUUAUUUAGUAAAAAUGAGAGGGAGAAAUCAGGCAACAUACUGCAGAUGCCUCUGCUAGGAUUAAAGAAAAUGUUGUAUUAACACACCACACUCAUUGCAACAUCAACUAUGCAUUGCUACAAGGCUCUACUUCAUGCAAUCUUCUGGGACAAACCAAAGCUCCCCCUAAAAACUUUCUUAGGACAUGCUCAACCAUCCAAUCUUGUUAAUGUUAAUUAAUUUCAACCUAUAUGACGCUAGUGAGUUUCUUAUAUUUAAGGUAAGGUGCUUGUGUCUCAUCCAAAUGAGACAGUAAGGUACGAAAAGAAAAACCAACGCAAGCCUAAACUGUGAAUAGUUUCAAGAAAAACAAAGGAAUAGUCAUAACGGCUGUAAGAUCUUUAUGGUCAGGAAUGGUGCUUCUUUUCCAGCAACUCUACAUGUAGAAGACAUUCAAUAAAUACUUAAUGAUUAUCUGAUUGAUGGCAAUAUUG